CUGAUACUCUCUUCGUUUCAAAAUUCUUGUCUUAGAUUUGUAUAAAAAAUGAUGUACCAAAAUGGAUACAUUCAUAUCAAGACAAAUAUAAGACAAGAAUUUUAGGACGGAGGGAGUAUAAG
Molecule: non-coding RNA, 122 nt
Organism: Hordeum vulgare subsp. vulgare (domesticated barley)
Lineage: Eukaryota; Viridiplantae; Streptophyta; Magnoliopsida; Poales; Poaceae
Source: Rfam